RNAcentral lists this small nucleolar RNA (73 nucleotides) under Caenorhabditis japonica. Its description in RNAcentral is "snoRNA CJA48584". It matches the Rfam family "Caenorhabditis snoRNA ceN30". Lineage: Eukaryota; Metazoa; Nematoda; Chromadorea; Rhabditida; Rhabditidae. The record is from Rfam by way of RNAcentral.
GGCUGUGAAGAACAAUAUUCCCAACGCUUGGAAUGAAACAAAGUGAUUAUUUCCAAUCCUUUUUCUGAGCCCA